Molecule: ribosomal RNA, 549 nt
Filed under: uncultured bacterium
Lineage: Bacteria
Description: partial 16S ribosomal RNA
Rfam family: Bacterial small subunit ribosomal RNA
Source: RNAcentral
UGGGGAAUUUUGGACAAUGGGCGAAAGCCUGAUCCAGCAAUGCCGCGUGUGUGAAGAAGGCCUUCGGGUUGUAAAGCACUUUUGUCCGGAAAGAAAUCCUUGGCUCUAAUACAGUCGGGGGAUGACGGUACCGGAAGAAUAAGCACCGGCUAACUACGUGCCAGCAGCCGCGGUAAUACGUAGGGUGCAAGCGUUAAUCGGAAUUACUGGGCGUAAAGCGUGCGCAGGCGGUUUGCUAAGACCGAUGUGAAAUCCCCGGGCUCAACCUGGGAACUGCAUUGGUGACUGGCAGGCUAGAGUAUGGCAGAGGGGGGUAGAAUUCCACGUGUAGCAGUGAAAUGCGUAGAGAUGUGGAGGAAUACCGAUGGCGAAGGCAGCCCCCUGGGCCAAAUACUGACGCUCAUGCACGAAAAGCGUGGGGAGCAAACAGGAUUAGAUACCCUGGUAGUCCACGCCCUAAACGAUGUCAACUAGUUGUUGGGGAUUCAUUUCCUUAGUAACGUAGCUAACGCGUGAAGUUGACCGCCUGGGGAGUACGGUCGCAAGAUU